AUGAAUGCAAGGAUGCUCUAUUUAGAGGUCCGACCCAUAUCAUUUCACCCUGUGUGUAGACUUCGGUCUCGCACUAUUUUUACACACAAAGUCUCAGAAUGUAACAAGUCUCGUAAUUGAGCAUGAAAGUAACA
Molecule: unclassified non-coding RNA, 134 nt
Filed under: uncultured fungus
Lineage: Eukaryota; Fungi
Description: sequence contains ITS1, 5.8S rRNA gene
Source: RNAcentral